GGCGCUCAAAACCCAGUGUCACUCAAUUUCUACCAUUGUUAAAGAGCUUUUCGGCGAUGACCCUUUGAUCUUAUCCUUCAAUGGAGCUUCGUCCCAGACACAGGCAACCAUUUUCUGGCUUUACAGAAGCGGAGAUUGAGAAAAUGGAGAACGAACUUAAGCAAUCAGAAGAACAUGAUUUUGACCAACAUUUCUGCAAGAAAUUGGCAGGGGCUUUCAGUCACUCUAAAGGUCGUGCAGGAAAACCAAUCGUGAAAUGGACUGAGGUCCAAACUUGGCUCCAGAAUAGGCAGAAAAGCUGUCUCUCAAAGUAUAAUUCAGCAGAGGCUAAGAGGAAAC
RNAcentral lists this unclassified non-coding RNA (339 nucleotides) under Hevea brasiliensis (rubber tree). Lineage: Eukaryota; Viridiplantae; Streptophyta; Magnoliopsida; Malpighiales; Euphorbiaceae. The record is from RNAcentral.